UGGGGAAUAUUGGACAAUGGGCGAAAGCCUGAUCCAGCCAUGCCGCGUGUGUGAAGAAGGUCUUCGGAUUGUAAAGCACUUUAAGUUGGGAGGAAGGGCAUUAAAUUAAUACGUUACUGUUUUGACGUUACCGACAGAAUAAGCACCGGCUAACUCUGUG
This 160-nucleotide ribosomal RNA is filed under the name uncultured bacterium. RNAcentral describes it as "partial 16S rRNA". It matches the Rfam family "Bacterial small subunit ribosomal RNA", at positions 355 to 507 of the family's 1533-position model. The record is from RNAcentral.